CCUAGAACUCGAGAUAUGGGCUGAAUAAUGAAUAGUGUCUGGGCUGCAGGACAUAUUUCGACAUCUUUGUUGUUGCUACAAUUUGAACUUGAAAAUGACCUUUUUGAAUCUUGAACUCUUCAUGAAAGUUUUAGGCAUAUGUCUUAGCUUUCCAUC
Non-coding RNA from Populus trichocarpa (black cottonwood), 156 nucleotides. The record is from Rfam. NCBI's taxonomy places the organism in Eukaryota, Viridiplantae, Streptophyta, Magnoliopsida, Malpighiales, Salicaceae.